GAUGAACGCUGACAGAAUGCUUAACACAUGCAAGUCGACUCGAGUCUUCGGACUUGGGUGGCGCAGUGUAGCAAUACAUGGGCGGCGACCGGCGCACGGGUGCGUAACGCGUAUCCAACCUUCCCGUUACUCAGGGAUAGCCUUCCGAAAGGGAGAUUAAUACCUGAUGGUGUUCAAAUUCCGCAUGUUAUUUGAACUAAAGAUUUAUCGGUAACGGAUGGGGAUGCGUGACAUUAGGUAGAUGGCGGGGUAACGGCCCACCAUGCCCACGAUGUCUAGGGGUUCUGAGAGGAAGGUCCCCCACACUGGAACUGAGACACGGUCCAG
RNAcentral lists this ribosomal RNA (327 nucleotides) under uncultured bacterium. RNAcentral's name for it is "bacterial SSU rRNA". It matches the Rfam family "Bacterial small subunit ribosomal RNA", at positions 28 to 334 of the family's 1533-position model. The record is from RNAcentral.